GAUGUCGUACUUUUUGUAGAACGGGCCGGCGAGUUACGAUGCGUUGCGAGGUUAAGCGUUACAGACGCGGAGCCGAAGCGAAAGCGAGUCCGAAAUGGGCGGGAAGUAGCGUGUCGUAGACCCGAAACCUGAUGACCUAUCCAUGAGCAGGGUGAAGCAGUGGUAAAACACUGUGGAGGCCCGAACACACGCCUGUUGAAAUAGUCGGUGAUGACUUGUGGUUAGCGGAGAAAUUCCAAACGAAUUCGGAUAUAGCUGGUUCUCCUCGAAAUAGCUUUAGGGCUAGCCUCUAUAAGAUUACCGAAGGUAGAGCACUGAAUGGGCUAGGGGGCUUCACAGCUUACCGAACCUUAUCAAACUUCGAAUGACGGAUAAUUGAUAUAGUGGAGUCAGACUGCGACAGAUAAGUGCCGUAGUCAAAAGGGAAACAGCCCAGAUCCACAGCUAAGGUCCCGAAGUACAGGUUAAGUGGGAAAGGAUGUGUUAUUGCAGAGACAACCAGGAUGUUGGCUUAGAAGCAGCCACACAUUAAAAGAGUGCGUAAUAGCUCACUGGUCGAGUGAUGAUGCGCCGAAGAUUACCGGGGCUAAAACCUGACACCGAAGCGUGGGGAUGCAAGUAAUUGCAUCGGUAGAGGAGCAAUGUAUACGAGCAGAAGCUGCAGCGGAAGCAACAGUGGAUUGUAUACAAGAGAGAAUGCCGGCAUAAGUAGCGAGAGAGAGGCGAGAAACCUCUCCGUCGAAAGUCUAAGGAUUCCUGGGGAAGGUUCGUCCGCCCAGGGUAAGUCGGGACCUAAGUCGAGGCCGAAAGGCGUAGAUGAUGGACAACUGGUGGAGAAUCCAGUACCACCGAUAGCGAUAAUGAAGCAGUGACACAGGAAGAUAGUCAGACCGCGCGGAUGGAAAAGCGCGGCCAAGCGCAGGUAGUGGCAGACAGUGAAGUACGUCUGCUGGGAACUAUUGGCGUGACGGGGAGUGAAAAGAGUAACGAAGCUGAUGAAUCUACACUGGCGAGAAAAGCUGCUAAAUGGUUAAAGGUGCCCGUACCGCAAACCGACACAGGUAGACGAGAAGAAAAUUCUAAGACGAACGGGAGAACCCUUGUUAAGGAACUCGGCAAAAUGACCCCGUAACUUCGGGAGAAGGGGAGCCACAGAGAUGUGGCCGCAGUGAAGAGGCCCAAGCGACUGUUUACCAAAAACACAGGUAUCUGCGAAAGCGAAAGCUGACGUAUAGGUGCUGACGCCUGCCCAGUGCUGGAAGGUUAAGGGGAGAUGUUAGAGCAAUCGAAGCAUUGAACUUAAGCCCCAGUGAACGGCGGCCGUAACUAUAACGGUCCUAAGGUAGCGAAAUUCCUUGUCGGGUAAGUUCCGACCCGCACGAAUGGCGUAACGAUUUGGGCGCUGUCUCAACAGGGGGCCCGGCGAAAUUGAAGUAUGCGUGAAGAUGCGUAUUACCCGCGACUGGACGGAAAGACCCCGUAGAGCUUUACUGUAGCUUGAUAUUGAAUCUCGGUAACUGAUGCACAGGAUAGGUGGGAGACAGAGAAGCAGCGUUUUCGGGCGCUGCGGAGUCAACUUUGGGAUACCACUCUUCGGUUGCUGCGAUUCUAACCGAAAACCGUGAAACCGGGUUCGGGACAUUGUCAGGCGGGCAGUUUGACUGGGGCGGUCGCCUCCUAAAGAGUAACGG
This 1691-nucleotide ribosomal RNA is filed under the name human gut metagenome. Its description in RNAcentral is "bacterial LSU rRNA". It matches the Rfam family "Bacterial large subunit ribosomal RNA", at positions 595 to 2303 of the family's 2925-position model. The record is from RNAcentral.